Molecule: ribosomal RNA, 1006 nt
Filed under: uncultured Paludibacter sp.
Lineage: Bacteria; Pseudomonadati; Bacteroidota; Bacteroidia; Bacteroidales; Paludibacteraceae
Description: bacterial SSU rRNA
Rfam family: Bacterial small subunit ribosomal RNA
Source: RNAcentral
AUGGGCGAGAGCCUGAACAGCCAAGUCGCGCGAAGGAAGAACGUUCUAUGGAUUGUAAACUUCUUUUAUAAGGGAAUAAAAAAGAGUACGUGUACUCUAUUGUAUGUACUUUAUGAAUAAGGAUCGGCUAACUCCGUGCCAGCAGCCGCGGUAAUACGGAGGAUCCAAGCGUUAUCCGGAUUUACUGGGUGUAAAGGGCGUGUAGGCGGCUCCGCAAGUCAGAUGUGAAAUUCCCAGGCUUAACCUGGGCGCUGCAUCUGAAACUGCGGAACUUGAGUACUGGAGAGGAUAGUGGAAUUCCUAGUGUAGCGGUAAAAUGCGUAGAUAUUAGGAGGAACACCGGUGGCGAAGGCGACUAUCUGGACAGUAACUGAAGCUGAGGCGCGAAAGCGUGGGGAGCAAACAACAGGAUUAGAUACCCUGGUUAGUCCACGCAGUAAACGAUGAAUACUAGCUGUAUGCGAUAUACUGUAUGUGGCAAAGCGAAAGCGUUAAGUAUUCCACCUGGGGAGGUACGUUCGCAAGAAUGAAACUCAAAGGAAUUGACGGGGGCCCGCACAAGCGGAGGAACAUGUGGUUUAAUUCGAUGAUACGCGAGGAACCUUACCCGGGCUUGAAAUGCAGACGACCGACGAGGAAACUUGUCUUCCAGCAAUGGCGUCUGUGUAGGUGCUGCAUGGGUUGUCGUCAGCUCGGGUCCCGUGAGGUGUCGGCUUAAGUGCCAUAACGAGCGCAACCCCUAUUGAUAGUUACUAACAGGUUAAGCUGAGGACUCUAUUGAGACUGCCACCGUAAGGUGUGGGGAAGGUGGGGAUGACGUCAAAUCAGCACGGCCCUUACGUCCGGGGGCGAACACACGUGUUACAAUGGGGGGGUACAGAGGGUUGCUACUUGGUGGACAAAGAUGCUAAUCUUCUUUAAAAAGCCCCUCUCUCCAGUUCGGAUCGAAGUCUGCAACUCGACUUCGUGGAAAAAGCUGGGAUUCGCUAGUCAAUCGCGCAUCAGC